This is a long non-coding RNA of Nannospalax galili (Upper Galilee mountains blind mole rat), 793 nucleotides long. RefSeq lists it as uncharacterized. The record is from RefSeq and is a predicted model, not a curated record. Lineage: Eukaryota; Metazoa; Chordata; Mammalia; Rodentia; Spalacidae. The transcript is spliced from 3 exons.
UGGCAGCUAGAUCGGCAGCCUCCGCGGAGGCGGCUCCACGCGUGCUUUACGGCCCAGCCGACGGAGCACGACACGACAGUGUCGCAAAGACAGGCACAAAAGCCUCCAUUACCUCUAUGACCAAGUUUCCGCAUGCACUUGGUGGCCUCCACCCUGUGAUGUCUGCGCUAGUGGGCGGGAAUUCGCUCCGUGGGCGGUUCCGGGCGCCGGCCAGUCAAAGCUUGGGAUGAAAUACUCAGGAUUGAAGCCCAGUGUGCUGAAUGGCUUCAGUUGUCAACUUGAUACACCUGGGUGUGGGAAACCUCAAUUGAAGAAUUUCCUCCAUUGGACUGGUCUGUGGCCAUGUCUGUGGGGCAUUUUCUUGAUUAUUGAGUGAUGAGUGGUGUCAUCCCUGGGCAGGUGGUCCUGUAUUGUAUAAGAAAGUAGGUUGAACAUGAGCCAGAGAAACAAGCCAGCAUUCCUCCAUGGUCUGUACUUCAGUUCCUGCCCUGAGCUCCUGCUCUGGUUUUCCUCCACGAUGAAGCUGAAGGUCCAGCUUUGAACACGGCUUCAACUGGAGGCGCCAGACACAAAGUGCAGUGGAGCCUUUCCCAGCUGUCUCUCAGAAACCAGGAGAUAAUAAAUGGGUGUUGUGGCACAGUGUUGCUGAGUUUUGAGAUGCUUGUUAUGCAGGAAUAGCAGUUGGAAGAGUUUCUCAAAUUGUUGUCAUCUAUAAAUUGUGGCCCACCAAAAUGAGAGAAUCGACAAGGAAAAGAAAAACAAUAGGGCCGGCUGUGGUGGCGCACACCUUUAA